CGUCCUGCAGGGAACUCACACCCUUCUCCGAGGCUCUGGCGUCCUGCAGGGAACUCACCCUUCUCCGAGGCUCCGGCGUCCUGCAGGGACUCACCCUUCUCCGAGGCUCCGGCGUCCUGCAGGGAACUCACCCUUCUCCGAGGCUCCGGCGUCCUGCAGGGAACUCACCCUUCUCCGAGGCUCUGGCGUCCUGCAGGGAACUCAUCCUUCUCCGAGGCUCCGGCGUCCUGCAGGGAACUCACACCCUUCUCUGAGGCUCCGGUGUCCUGCAGGGAACUCGCCCUUCUCCGAGGCUCUGGCAUCCUGGCCAACAUGACAGCUCAUAUGUUGCUGCCGGUCUCCCAGCCCAGUGACACUACGUGGGCUCUGGUUGCCACCUUCUUUCAGGCCUUAGAGCAGGACACCAGCAAAUGGCCCAGUACAAAAAAAUGUUGCAAAUGCAGGACUCACCCAUAUCCAAGUCUCAGCUCACUAGGAUUUUGUUUCCUCAAAUCCUGUCUUAAUUGCUCUCUGAUGUCUUCAAAAAGCUCUUUUUAAAAAUAGAUUUUAUAUGGCCUUGAUAGUUCUUGGGAAGGGUUUGGUUUAAUACCAGUUCCUGUCUCAUACUCAGAAGUGGAAGGGCUCUCUUGGCCUUAGCGCCAUUUUUUUGGGAAACCUCUGCGCCAUGAGAGCGAAGUGGAGGAAGAAAGGAAUGCGCAGGCUGAAGCGCAAAAGAAGAAAGAUGAGGCAGAGGUUCAAGUAAACCGCUAGCUUGUUGCACCAUGGAGGCCACAGGAGCAGAAACGUGGAAUGCCAGACGCUGGGGAUGCUGGUACAAGUUGUGGGACUGCAUGCUACUGUCUAGAGCUUGUCUCAGUGGAUCUAGAACUUCAUCGCCAUCUGAUCACCAAUCACCUGAGACUCACCUUGCUCAUAACCAAAACUGCCCAUGUUGGUCCUUUGCCCUGGACCUGUGACACUCUGGACUAUUUCUAUGUUUACUUGUGGCCGAAUGUAACAACCAUAAAAUAAAUCACCUCUUCUGCUGUCUUAGCUGAAGAAUUUAAAAAAAAAAAAAAAAAAAAAAAAAGAAGUGGAAGGGAAAGGAAUUUUAGCUUUAAAUGAAGUUCCAUGUUUUAUUACUGCAGGAGUGGUCUUCAAAAAGUUCAUGGAUUUCAAAAUUCUUUUGCACCAAAAUAAACUCAAACUAACUUGUUAUAACAUGUCUGAAUAGAUCUGGUUUGAGGCAGUAAGACAUCAAUUUGAAAAGAACUCCUAUCAGAACAUGAAUUCUGCUAAAACUGAAGGAAAAGCAAGCAUCAAAUCUGCAGUGAACCUUGGGUGAAAGAAUGGUGAAAAUCACUGAUGCUUUACGAACGUGUAUGAGGACAGUGCCCUAAAGAAAUCGGCAGUAUAUACAUAGACACCUUGUUUUAAGAAGGGACAAUGAUGAAGAUGAAGACCACAGUGGCAGAGCAUCUACAUCAGUUUGCAAGGAAAACAUUCAUCUUGUUCAUGCUUUGAUUAAAGAGGACUGAUGAUUAACAGCACACACAAAAAAAUAGCUAAGCCCACAGACACAUCAACGGGUUCAAAACUGAAGUUGAGCAAGCCUUCCACCUGAUGGGUGCCAAAACUGUUGUGCCCAGAUCAGCUGCACGCAAGAGCAGGGCUUUCCAUGGAAAUUUUAAACAAGUGUCAUCAGGACCCUGAAGCAUUUCCUUGAAUUGUAACAGGAGACUGAACAGGGCUUUACCAGUACCAUCCUGAAGACAAACCACAAUCAAAGCAAUGGCUACCAAGAGGUGGAAGUGGCCCAGUGAAGGCAAAUGUGGACAAGUCAAGAGCUAAGGUCAUGGCAACAUGAACAUUCUUGGGAUGCCGAAUGCAUUUUGCUUGUUGACUUUCUGGAGGGCCAAAGAACAAUAACAUCUUAUUAUGAGAGUGUUUUGAGAAAGUUAGUCAAAGCUUUAGCCAAAAAAGAACAAACACACACACACGCGGGAACGCCCCACCAGUGUCUUUCUCCACAAUGACAGUGCUCCGCACUCAUCCUUCUCAUCAAAUAAUGGCAGUUCUUCAAUAGUUUUGUUGGGAAAUCAUUAGGCAUCCACCUUACAGUCGGAUUUCACUCCUGACUUGCUUCCUCAUUUAAAAAAAUCCUUAAAGGCACUCAUCUUUCUCUUCAGUUAAUAAUGUUAAAAAGGCUGCACUGACAUGGUUAAAUUCCCAGCACCCUCAGUUCUUUAGGGAUGGACUACAUGGCUGGUGUCAUAGCUUACAAAAGUAUCUUGACCUUGAUGGAGCUUACAUUGAGAAAUACAAACGCCUGUUGGUGCUGGUGGCGGUGGCAGUGGUUUUAAGAGACAGGAUCUUGCUCUGUUGCCCAGGCUGGAGUACAGUGGUGUGAUCAUAGCUCACUGCAACCUCCAACUCCUGGGCUCAAGUGAUCCUCUUGCCUUUGCUUCCCAAGUAGCAGGGACUACAGGCAUGCACCACCAUACCUGGGUAAUUUCUCGAACUCCUGGCCUCAAGCAGUCCUCCCACCUCAGCCUCCCAAAGUGCUGGGAUUACAAACAUGAGCCACUGUGCCCAGCCAAGAAAUAAAGUUUUUAUUUUUUGCUUUUAUCUUUUACUUCAAUAUUUUCACACACUUUUUACAGUCCCUUCGUGUAAUGACUGGUAAUUUCAUUCACUGAAGAGACAGCUCCAAGGCUCAUACAAAGGGCUUUUUAUUAUCUGAGACAGACCUGAGAAAGUAAGGAAACUGCCUAAAGCAUAAUUUCCAGGCAGGGAAACAAACAGCUCGCAGCUAGGGUUUUGAACGGAGAGGCAAGGGGGAUGGCUAAGAAUAAUAAACAUAGUUUCUAGUUGCACCCACAGUCCCCUCAUCCAAGUACGGUGAGAGUCAUGUGACUGUCAGCGCGCGGCCUCUUGUCCAUCUUCCUGCAGGACUGUCAGCAACUGGAGGGCACAAUUUGACCAUUUCCUCAGUGCCUGGUUUCAACAAACGUCCACCGACCAAAUGAGCGGAAUGUACGACUCUCCUAGUGUCACUCAAGCGGGGCCAUAUUUUCUAUUGAGUAAAGCAAGCCCUCCUUUUCUCUGCAAUCCCCUUUUAUACACCGUUACUUAGAACACUUCAACUAAAAAUACAGCAGCAUGAGGCUGAAAGCUUAAAACAAACAAACAUAAAAGCCAGCUAGCUCAAGGACCAGCAAACUUGCUCUUCUGGAAAGGGCCCAACAGUAUUUUCAGCCCUGUUUGGCCCUUUCAGUGGGCCUGUGGUCUCUGUCACACUACUCAGUUCUCCUGUCACAGCCUGAAAGUAGCCAAGACAACAUGUUAAAAAAUGGCUGUGUGGCCAGGCGCGGUGGCUCACGCCUGUAA
This is a long non-coding RNA of Cebus imitator (Panamanian white-faced capuchin), 3369 nucleotides long. RefSeq lists it as uncharacterized. The record is from RefSeq and is a predicted model, not a curated record. The transcript has 3 exons. NCBI's taxonomy places the organism in Eukaryota, Metazoa, Chordata, Mammalia, Primates, Cebidae.